UAGGGUUUCAGAAGCUCGGUUUCAGAAGCGAACACAUAUUAGAAU
RNAcentral lists this small RNA (45 nucleotides) under Arabidopsis thaliana (thale cress). RNAcentral describes it as "ATSL224530". The record is from RNAcentral. Lineage: Eukaryota; Viridiplantae; Streptophyta; Magnoliopsida; Brassicales; Brassicaceae.